UAGAUGUUUUUCUCAAAACAAAUGACAAGUGUACUGUGUGUAUUAGUAUUAUUAAAAUAAAUAGUAUAAGUUGUUGACCAAAUUAAUUCUAUAUGAAAACUUUUUAGCAAAACUAAACUAUGUAUUCCGUGAUAUGAAGCUGAUAGUGUUUAUUGUGUGGAACUUCAAGGACGAUUUGGCAAUACAGUUUUGUGUAUCUAAAGAGUUGCCUACAUACAUUUUUAACAUUCCUUUGGAGUUUGCUGUUUUGUUAGCAGUGAGUAAUAAACACAAAAGCGUUGUAUACAUAUAUUUGCAUGCUGAAUUUGGCCAAUAUACGUUUAUGAAUAACAAAAUAAUGAUCAUACCCUUAACUGAUGAGUCAAAGCAGAUGUCUAUCGUUUCUGUACCCUCAAAGUGGAGCCGUACAGACACUGAACUAGGAACGAAAGUCAAGAGGAAGCAGCAAAAAAUAUCAUGUAAUCAAUAAACUACUUAAAUCUACUAUUAUUGUUAAAAGAACAAUAACUUUUUGCCUAAAUACGUUGUAGUUGACAAAUUGGCACCCAUACAUCUACCGUUGAUUUUAUGUUAAUGCAUUAUGAUUUCAUAAUAAAAAUAUUUUAUGUAAAUUUGUAUAUAUGUACAUAUAUAUGUUUUUUAUGAUAGAUUAAAAUCCAAUAACAACUACCAUAUCAUUGCAUGAGGCUCGGACGAAUUUUCGGGAACAUAUAGAAGUUCUCUAAAAUACAAGUCAGAAAAACUAAAUAAAUUUACAAUGCCAAUGCCAGCAUUUUGUGGCCAAGUGAAACGCAAAACGAAGAACUACAUACAUAGGUAUAUAUCGUUAUAUAUUCGUGAGCAAACAAAAUUAAAAAAAAAGUGCAAUACUAAAAACCAUGUGAACAAAAUAUCACACGUAAUUUUUCAUGUCCACCUCUUUUACUAAAUUUCUUCUGCGUUUUUUCAUAAAUCAUUUCCAUAGGCGAUUCUCUAUGAUAAAUUGGGCUGAACAACAAUUAUCACUCAUCGGGUUAGCGAAGAUUUCUGUUCUUACCUUUUAAAAUCUCUCAUAAGACGUCUGCGUGCGGGUGUUGACAUUUUCCUUUUAUUAUUAUAGCGCUUUUACGCUUUUCAACAAUGAAAUUAACAAUUUUUACAAAUUUUAACUCGACAGCGAAAUUUUUUCCUUAUUACACGAACACAACUAGAAAUCGUUUCGUUUUACUUCUUUCUGCAAU
Zeugodacus cucurbitae (melon fly) is the source of this 1220-nucleotide long non-coding RNA. RefSeq lists it as uncharacterized. Lineage: Eukaryota; Metazoa; Arthropoda; Insecta; Diptera; Tephritidae. The record is from RefSeq and is a predicted model, not a curated record. The transcript has 2 exons.